RNAcentral lists this unclassified non-coding RNA (299 nucleotides) under plant metagenome. RNAcentral's name for it is "partial contains 5.8S ribosomal RNA, internal transcribed spacer 2, and large subunit ribosomal RNA". The stretch from base 1 to 105 matches the Rfam family "5.8S ribosomal RNA", at positions 50 to 154 of the family's 154-position model. The record is from RNAcentral.
GAAAUGCGAUAAGUAAUGUGAAUUGCAGAAUUCAGUGAAUCAUCGAAUCUUUGAACGCACAUUGCGCCCCCUGGUAUUCCGGGGGGCAUGCCUGUUCGAGCGUCAUUUCACCACUCAAGCCUCGCUUGGUAUUGGGCGACGCGGUCCGCCGCGCGCCUCAAAUCGACCGGCUGGGUCUUUCGUCCCCUCAGCGUUGUGGAAACUAUUCGCUAAAGGGUGCCGCGGGAGGCUACGCCGUAAAACAAACCCAUUUCUAAGGUUGACCUCGGAUCAGGUAGGGAUACCCGCUGAACUUAAGC